Molecule: unclassified non-coding RNA, 352 nt
Filed under: uncultured fungus
Lineage: Eukaryota; Fungi
Description: partial contains small subunit ribosomal RNA, internal transcribed spacer 1, and 5.8S ribosomal RNA
Rfam family: Eukaryotic small subunit ribosomal RNA (bases 1-73)
Source: RNAcentral
GCAAACUUGGUCAUUUAGAGGAAGUAAAAGUCGUAACAAGGUUUCCGUAGGUGAACCUGCGGAAGGAUCAUUAUUGAAUUUUGAAGCGGGGCUCUUGAGCUGGCACUGCAGGUGCUCAGAGCCUCCAUUCAUUCCAAUUCAACCCCUGUGCACCUUUGAGAACCGAUAAGUUGGGUACGGAGCACGGUUCAUUUCCUUUUUUGGGUUGAACUUAGUGAAGUGUCCGCUUUCGUUUCUUAUUACACAAACUCUAUAUAUUGUUUUGUAGAAUGUAUCGCCUUUGAUUAGGCAAAGUCUAAAUACAACUUUCAACAACGGAUCUCUUGGCUCUCGCAUCGAUGAAGAACGCAGC